This 253-nucleotide ribosomal RNA is filed under the name uncultured bacterium. RNAcentral describes it as "partial 16S ribosomal RNA". It matches the Rfam family "Bacterial small subunit ribosomal RNA", at positions 524 to 776 of the family's 1533-position model. The record is from RNAcentral.
UACGUAGGGUGCGAGCGUUGUCCGGAAUUAUUGGGCGUAAAGGGCUCGUAGGCGGUCUGUCGCGUCGGGAGUGAAAACUCAGGGCUUAACCCUGAGCCUGCUUCCGAUACGGGCAGACUAGAGGUAUGCAGGGGAGAACGGAAUUCCUGGUGUAGCGGUGGAAUGCGCAGAUAUCAGGAAGAACACCCGUGGCUAAGGCGGCUCUCUAGUACGGUACUGACGCUGAGACGCGAAAGCGUGGGGAGCGAACAGG